RNAcentral lists this ribosomal RNA (407 nucleotides) under bacterium enrichment culture clone ALO1_GLFRUDD03FPHVZ. RNAcentral describes it as "bacterial SSU rRNA". It matches the Rfam family "Bacterial small subunit ribosomal RNA", at positions 9 to 415 of the family's 1533-position model. The record is from RNAcentral.
GAGUUUGAUCCUGGCUCAGAUUGAACGCUGGCGGCAUGCCUUACACAUGCAAGUCGAACGGCAGCACGGGAGCUUGCUCCUGGUGGCGAGUGGCGAACGGGUGAGUAAUGCAUCGGAACGUAUCCUGGAGUGGGGGAUAACGUAGCGAAAGUUACGCUAAUACCGCAUAUUCUGUGAGCAGGAAAGCGGGGGACCUUCGGGCCUCGCGCUCUUGGAGCGGCCGAUGUCGGAUUAGCUAGUUGGUGAGGUAAAGGCUCACCAAGGCGACGAUCCGUAGCAGGUCUGAGAGGAUGAUCUGCCACACUGGAACUGAGACACGGUCCAGACUCCUACGGGAGGCAGCAGUGGGGAAUUUUGGACAAUGGGGGCAACCCUGAUCCAGCCAAUGCCGCGUGAGUGAAGAAAGG